AGCCUGAACGCUGGCGGCGUGGCUAAGACAUGCAAGUCGUACGGGUGUAGCAAUACACCAGUGGCGGACGGGUGAGUAAUGUAUCGCUAACGUACCCCGGAUUCUGGGAUAGCUGCCCGAAAGGGCAGGUAAUACCGGAUGAUAUAUCCUUUUCGCAUGAUGAGGAUCUCAAAGGGAAACCGUUCUGGGAGCGGGCGAUAUCGUAUCAGCUAGUUGGUGAGGUAACGGCUCACCAAGGCGACGACGCGUAGCCGGACUGAGAGGUUGGCCGGCCACAUUGGGACUGAGACACUGCCCAGACUCCUACGGGGGGCUGCAGUAACGAAUCUUCCGCAAUGCACGCAAGUGUGACGGAGCGACGCCGCGUGUGGGACGAAGUCCUUGGGAUGUAAACCACUGUCAGGGGUUAGAAAGUUCUGAUCAACCCAGAGGAGCACGGCUAACUCUGUGUCAGCAGCCGCGGUAA
Molecule: ribosomal RNA, 466 nt
Filed under: uncultured bacterium
Lineage: Bacteria
Description: SSU rRNA
Rfam family: Bacterial small subunit ribosomal RNA
Source: RNAcentral